RNAcentral lists this unclassified non-coding RNA (219 nucleotides) under uncultured bacterium. RNAcentral's name for it is "contains 16S-23S intergenic spacer region". The record is from RNAcentral.
UGGCCUGCUGGGUCUACGAGGAGACCUUCCACGGCCUGGCCCUCCAGCGUUUCCUGGAAGCGGCCGGGGUGCCGGUGGGCGAGCGUCCGCUGCCCCGCGGGCAGGAGCCGUGGUCCAAGCGGCUCGAGGCGGCGGCGACCGCCAUGGUGUCGAAGACCUGGCCCGACUUCUGCGCGGUGCACAUGACCUGGGGCGCGAUCAACGAGCUGACCACGCUCA